This is a long non-coding RNA of Xenia sp. Carnegie-2017, 210 nucleotides long. RefSeq lists it as uncharacterized. The record is from RefSeq and is a predicted model, not a curated record. Lineage: Eukaryota; Metazoa; Cnidaria; Anthozoa; Malacalcyonacea; Xeniidae. The transcript has 3 exons.
UGCAGGAAAAGAUUUAUAUGACGGUGAACUAGCACCAGAAAUCCUAAACACAAAGGAUCAUGCAAUAACUUCCCCAUCUACUAGUAGGACACCAUCUCAGCGUAGUGAUACAAGCAACGUCUCUUCACAAGGAAUUCUUACAACUGGCACAACAAGAGAAAGACAUUCUCAACAAAACAGUGGUGUCUUAGGCAAGCUUUUCUUACAAUU